UCGCGAAUUUUUCUCAAUGGGCGCAAGCCUGAAGAAGCCAUGCCGCGUGCGGGACGAAGGCCCUCUGGGUUGUAAACCGCUGUCAGGGAAGGGGAAAUGGUGCGGGUUAACAGCCCGUAUUUUGACUGCUUUCCAAAGGAAGCCCCGGCAAAACAUGUGCCAGCAGCCGCGGUAAUACAUGUGGGGCAAGCGUUGUUCGGAAUCACUGGGCAUAAAGGGUGCGUAGGCGGCAUGACACGUCUUGGGUGAAAUCCUGCGGCCCAACCGCGGGUCUGCCUGAGAUACGGUCAAGCUAGAGUGCGUGAGGGGUGACUGGAACGCGUGGUGUAGCGGUGAAAUGCGUAGAUAUCACGCGGAAGGCCAACGGCGAAGGCAAGUCACUGGUACGCAACUGACGCUGAGUGCACGAAAGCGUGGGGAGCAAACAGG
RNAcentral lists this ribosomal RNA (429 nucleotides) under uncultured bacterium. RNAcentral's name for it is "bacterial SSU rRNA". It matches the Rfam family "Bacterial small subunit ribosomal RNA", at positions 355 to 776 of the family's 1533-position model. The record is from RNAcentral.